UGCAAGUCGAACGAAACUUCUUUAUCACCGAGUGCUUGCACUCACCGAUAAAGAGUUGAGUGGCGAACGGGUGAGUAACACGUGGGCAACCUGCCCAAAAGAGGGGGAUAACACUUGGAAACAGGUGCUAAUACCGCAUAACCAUAGUUACCGCAUGGUAACUAUGUAAAAGGUGGCUAUGCUACCGCUUUUGGAUGGGCCCGCGACGCAUUAGCUAGUUGGUGGGGUAAAGGCUUACCAAGGCAAUGAUGCGUAGCCGAACUGAGAGGUUGAUCGGCCACAUUGGGACUGAGACACGGCCCAAACUCCUACGGGAGGCAGCAGUAGGGCAUCUUCCACAAUGGGCGAAAGCCUGAUGGAGCAACGCCGCGUGGGUGAAGAAGGUCUUCGGAUCGUAAAACCCUGUUGUUAGAGAAGAAAGUGCGUGAGAGUAACUGUUCACGUUUCGACGGUAUCUAACCAGAAAGCCACGGCUAACUACGCGCCAGCAGCCGCGGUAAUACGUAGGUGGCAAGCGUUAUCCGGAUUUAUUGGGCGUAAAGAGAACGCAGGCGGUCUUUUAAGUCUGAUGUGAAAGCCUUCGGCUUAACCGGAGUAGUGCAUUGGAAACUGGGAGACUUGAGUGCAGAAGAGGAGAGUGGAACUCCAUGUGUAGCGGUGAAAUGCGUAGAUAUAUGGAAGAACACCAGUGGCGAAAGCGGCUCUCUGGUCUGUAACUGAC
RNAcentral lists this ribosomal RNA (721 nucleotides) under uncultured Lactobacillus sp. RNAcentral describes it as "bacterial SSU rRNA". It matches the Rfam family "Bacterial small subunit ribosomal RNA", at positions 56 to 744 of the family's 1533-position model. Lineage: Bacteria; Bacillati; Bacillota; Bacilli; Lactobacillales; Lactobacillaceae. The record is from RNAcentral.